RNAcentral lists this ribosomal RNA (468 nucleotides) under uncultured bacterium. RNAcentral describes it as "partial 16S ribosomal RNA". It matches the Rfam family "Bacterial small subunit ribosomal RNA", at positions 28 to 507 of the family's 1533-position model. The record is from RNAcentral.
GACGAACGCUGGCGGCGUGCUUAACACAUGCAAGUCGAACGGAAAGGCCCUGCUUUUGUGGGGUGCUCGAUUGCCGAACGGGUGAGUAACACGUGAGUAACCUGCCCUUGACUUUGGGAUAACUUCAGGAAACUGGGGCUAAUACCGGAUAGGAGAUCCUGCAGCAUGGUGGGGGUUGGAAAGUUUCGGCGGUUGGGGAUGGACUCGCGGCUUAUCAGCUUGUUGGUGGGGUAGUGGCUUACCAAGGCUUUGACGGGUCGCCGGCCUGAGAGGGGGACCGGGGACAAUGGGACUACGGUAAGGAGCAGUGUGGAAUGGGGGGCAAUAGGGGGGAACCUUGCACAAUGGGCCGGAGUCUGUUGAAGAAACCCUGGGGGCGGAAAGCCGGCCUUUGGGGUGUAAACAGCUUUCGCCUGUGACCAAGCGGUAGUGACGGUAAUCGGUAAAGAAGCACCGGCUAACUACGUG